UUGUCACACUGGAUGAUUUCCAGACAGAGGCUCCAAGUCUUUCAUCAUGUUUGGGUUAAAGACCUCAUUAACAUACUAGUCCUGCCAUUUGAGUCUGUUCUCUUCACGGAAUAUUUUCACCUGAAUCACCAUAACAUCCUAUGGCCCUGAAAAUAGUUCUGCCAAGCUGCGUGCAGUGGACACUUCACGGCUGGCACAGGAGAGAUCACAAGGCCUUGCUCAAUUUCAUCAAAAGUGUUAAAGCGACUCAGCAGAUUGUGAAGCACAAGUGGAAGCUGAUAAUUGGUGUUUCUUACAAAUCAACGGCUUGUCUCCACACAUCAAGGUGAGAAAAUCAAUGUAAAAGAGGAGAAAUAACCCACACAACCACAUACAACUAGGAAAUGAUAGAUGGAUCUGAAAAAAAGGAUAUGCACUCUUAACAAGUUCAACACCCAAGUACUAUUGCAAGUACCAGCUGUAUUUCAUGGAAAAAAAAAAAAGAAUAACUCAAAAGGCAGAACGAAGAGCCUAGAGGUCAGAGAUGAGAGGCAUGAAUAAUUAUUCACAGGCGUUGAAUAUAAUCAAAUGACUUGCAACAUUUACCACUGGGAUUUUAAAAUGUGGUGGACCAAUCAUUCUUUUAGUCUGUGCAUUUUCCCAUUUUUUUCAACAGGAAUGUCUAGAGACAUUAUUCCUGUUUUGCCACUGUAUUUUUGGUGAAUGUGUAGUAAGUAACUGGCCUCUUUAGUAUCACAAAGCUGGAUGAAGAAAAUGUGGUACAUAUACACCAUGAAAUACUAUGCCGCCACAAAAAGGAAAUGAGAUCAUGUCCUCUGCAGGGACAUGGAUGAAGCUGGAAGCCAUUAUCCUUAGCAAAGUAACGCAGGAACAGAAAACCAAACACCACAUGUUGUCUCUUAGAAGUGGGAGCUGAACGUACCUAAUUCUUGCAAUUCAGUGUAUUUCCUGGCGAGAGGCAGAGAUGAACAACCCUGGACAGUUACCACAUAUGGCUCUUAUGAGGUAAUGAGGAUGGUUGUGAUGAGAAGGGUAAAAAAUAAAAAAGUUAUUACAAAACAUUUUUCAAGGAAUUUUCCAAAAAAUGAUUUUAAUAUUCUCUUUGCUUAUGGAAUGAUAUUUAAAACCAUGAUUUCUGUGUCCUUUAAAAUGACUUCUGAUUUGUGAAUUGUUCUCUGUGCUCCAAACUUCUUUUAUUUGUCCCUGUGUUUAUGCUCAUAACCAUUCAUUUCCCUCUUUUCCCACUGACUUAGCCUCUGGGGUUGUAAAGAAGUUACUCGUUUAUUUUUGUGUAUGUGUGGGGUUUUGUCUUUUGUUUUCUGAGAAUAAAGUAUAUGAGAUCAUGGAAAAAAUCAGAAAACGAGGAAAAUCAUAAAUUCAUUACCAAAAUAAUUUCUGAUUUGGUAUUAUAGCUCUGCAAAUUACUUCACUAAUUGUGUUCAUAGGUACUAUGGUACACUGUACACUGUUUUGUAACUUGCUUUUUAGAUGGAUUAUAUCAUAUUUUUCUGUAUCAAUAAAUAUGAAUUCAUUACAUCAGUUUAAACUGAUCAAAAACAUUUUAAUCAAAGUAAUACAAUUAAAUUGCUAAAUAUCAUAGGGAAUCGAAGAGUUUAUAAUCCCAAACCAUACUCUUUCUUUUCCUAGCCAGCUGGGGACAUUUUUAAUUGUUUCUAUUUUCAUUCUUUCUGUUUCAGUUCUUAUAAAAAUACAUAUAUAAAAUUGGCUAAAUGAUUAAAUGUUAUAGUAGUUCUUUAAUUAUAAAUUUGAAUAAUAUUUGUUGACUUCCAAACUGCAUACCCCUUGCCUUGUCCAAGUAAAACUGUACCAUCGUUUAUUCUCUGUGUUGUCAAUAAAACACUAAGUGAUAUCUGAGUUUCUAAAUUUCAGUUCACUCAUAGAAUGUAUCCUUUUUUUUCUUCUUGCCUCCAACAUUUUAUUAUGAAAUUUUCAAAUUCAUGAUAAAAGUAUAUAGUAUUCAUCUGUAUACUUACCUCCUAGUCUAUAUAUUUUUUACAUACUGUUUAUAAUUGUUUUAUUAUUUUCUACCCAUUUGUCUAUCUGUUAACCCAGCUUAAUUUUUGAUGCAUUUAAAAGUAGGUUGUAGAUACAAAUAACCAUCACCCUAACACCCUUCAAUACAAUGUUUACAGUUGUUUUUUUGACAUUGGAAUGUAUCUGUGGUUUCUCUAUUUCAUAGGAUCAUAGCAUUAACACCUUUACACUUCCCCUUACAUCUCCUUCCAUUUCUUCUCCCCGUCCGCCACCAGCUUCCAUCAUCUGUAUUAUACAGAAUCUGUCCUAAAAAAUUCUGAAGUAGGCCUUAGGUUUUUUUUGUUUUUUUAAAGGGUCUUGUUCUGUGGCCCAAGCUACAGUGCAGUGGCACAAUCUCAGCUCACUGCAGCCUCUGCCUCCUGGGCUCAAGUAAUCCUCCUGAAUAGCAGGGAUUACAGGCACAGACUACCAUGCUUAGCUAAUUUUUCUAUUUUUUUAUUUGUAGAGAUGGGGUUUCAUCAUAUUACCCAGGCUGGUCUCAAACUUCUGGGCUCAAGCAAUCUACCUGCCUAUGCCUCUGAAUGUGCUGGGAUUACAGGUGUGAGACACCCUGUGUGGCCAGGCCUCUUUUUAAAAAUAAGCCUGAUAGUUAAUUUUAUAUGUCAAUUUGACUGAGCCAUAAGUUGCCCAGAGAUUUUGUCAAGCAUUAUCCUGGGUGUGCCUCUGUGGGUGUUUCUGAAUGAGAUUAGUAUUUAAAUCAGUAGACUGAAUAAAAUAGAUUGCCUUCCCUAAUGUGGAUGGGCCUCAUUCAAUAGCUGUGGGAAUGAAUAGAUCAAAAGGGCAAACCCCUCCGUGAGUGACAGAGAUCUCUUCCUGCCUGACUGCCUUCAAGCUGAGACACUGGAAUUUUUUUUCUGCCUUUUGACUUCAAUUAAAACAUUGGCUUUUCCUGGGUCUUGAGCCUGCCCGUCUUUAGACUAGAACUAGAAGCUAUCCUGGGUCUACAGUUUGCCAACUGCAUACCUUUGGACUAGUCAGCCUUUAUAAUUGUGUGAGCCAAUUCCUUAUAACAAAUCUUUAUAUAUCGAUAUAUAGAGAUAUAUAUUGAUAUAUAUAUAUACCUAUAUAGAGAGAUAUAUCUAUAUAUCUAUAUAGAUAUCUAUACCUAUAUAGAGAGAUAUGUCUAUAUCCAUAUAUAGAUAUAUAGAGAUCCAUAUAUAUCCUCUAUAUAUGGAUACAUCUAUAUAUAGAGAGAUCUCUCUAAAUAUCUCUAUAUCUAUAACUAUAUCUACAUCUACAUCUAUAGCUAUAUCAACAUCCAAUUUGUUCUUUUUCUCUGAGAACACCUACUGAUAAAUAAGUUUCUAAGUUUUGUCUAUCAGUUGAUGCUAAAACAUUAAAAAAAGAGAACAACUAAUACUCUUUUUACACUAAUUAGAACAAUGUAAGCCUUUUUGUUUUAUUACCAAAUAAUUUGUAUUUCCUAUGUAAUUGCUGCAGUUUUAUUUUGCAUAUAGAUUUUUUUUCCGUAACAUCUUUGUCUGUUAGUGGUUUUAUUUAUGUAUUUUUUUAAUAUCCUUAGAUUCAUCCCACUUCUGAGGUCAGACAUCACAUCUUUUCACUACAUGCCUCUCUUUGGGAGGUUUCUUUCUUGCUAAUCCAAACAAGAACAUCUGCACAAUUGUCAACCUGGAAUUUACUUUAUUAAUCUCCUGGUUUGGAAACACUUUUUCUUGGAUGUUAUAUUUACUUUGGUUUACUAUUUUGUUGGCUUGCACUAAUUUUAUAUGAUUUCUUAAUAAUGAGUGUAUGUUAGACAUUUUACUUGAGUCUUUUCAUAUCACGGUAUGCCUUUAUUUUACCCUCAUAUAUAAUUAAUUUUCAUCUGGGCAUAUAUUUCCAGAUUAGAAAUCAUUUCUUUUCAUACAUUUUAAGGAAUUUAUACAUUUGCAUCUGAAAUUGUAUUCAUUAUCUUCUAGAAACCAAGAGUGGACUUGGUAUCCGUCUGAUUAUAUUUUCUUUGUUGGUAAAGAGCCUCUUUUUUCCCUUUUUAUUUUCAUCUUCUCUUUCUCUAGUGUUUAUAAUCUUAUUUUUAUGAAUGUAGUCUAAUUAUUUAGAACACUGUCUCCGAGUAUGUGUUUAUUUGGGUUUGUGUUUUGAACAUUGCCUCCAGGUGCGAGUUUAUGUGUGUUUAUGUUUCCUAUUUGAGGUUGGACACUUAGAAAAUUUUCUCAAUUCGAAAACUAUUUUCCUUCAGCACUCAGAAAUUUUUAUCAAUGAUUAUUUCCACGAUUAUUUCCUGUCCUUGGUUUUUCGUGUUCUUAACCUAGAAUUCAAUUGUUUAAUGUUAGACCUUACACAUCUUCAAUGUAUCAUAUAUAUUUCACUCAUAUUAUUUAUUGUCAUAUCUUUUGGACUAUUGUGUGAAAGCAAUAAAUGUAUAUUACUUUA
Molecule: long non-coding RNA, 4446 nt
Organism: Homo sapiens (human)
Lineage: Eukaryota; Metazoa; Chordata; Mammalia; Primates; Hominidae
Exons: 4
Source: RefSeq, a predicted model, not a curated record